RNAcentral lists this ribosomal RNA (237 nucleotides) under uncultured bacterium. Its description in RNAcentral is "partial 16S ribosomal RNA". It matches the Rfam family "Bacterial small subunit ribosomal RNA", at positions 15 to 233 of the family's 1533-position model. The record is from RNAcentral.
GAUCAUGGCUCAGGAUGAACGCUGGCGGCGUGCCUAACACAUGCAAGUCGAACGAAGCAAUUAGAAAGAAGUUUUCGGAUGGAUUUCUGGUUGACUGAGUGGCGGACGGGUGAGUAACGCGUGGAUAACCUGCCUCACACGUGGGGGAUAACAGUUAGAAAUGGCUGCUAAUACCGCAUAAGCGCACAGUACCGCAUGGUACGGUGUGAAAAACUCCGGUGGUGUGAGAUGGAUCCG